RNAcentral lists this ribosomal RNA (495 nucleotides) under uncultured bacterium. Its description in RNAcentral is "partial 16S ribosomal RNA". It matches the Rfam family "Bacterial small subunit ribosomal RNA", at positions 28 to 507 of the family's 1533-position model. The record is from RNAcentral.
GACGAACGCUGGCGGCGUGCCUAAUACAUGCCAGUAGAACGCUGAAGGAGGAGCUUGCUUCUCCGGAUGAGUUGCGAACGGGCGAGUAACGCGUAGGUAACCUGCCUGGUAGCGGGGGAUAACUAUUGGAAACGAUAGCUAAUACCGCAUAAGAGUAGAUGUUGCAUGACAUUUGCUUAAAAGGUGCAAUUGCAUCACUACCAGAUGGACCUGCGUUGUAUUAGCUAGUUGGUGAGGUAACGGCUCACCAAGGCGACGAUACAUAGCCGACCUGAGAGGGGGAUCGGCCACACUGGGAAUGAGACACGGCCCAGACUCCUACGGGAGGCAGCAGGAGGGAAACUUCGGCAAUGGACGGAAGGCUGAACGAGCAACGCCGCGGGAGGGAAGAAGGGUUUCGGAUCGUAAAGCUCUGUUGUAAGAGAAGAACGAGUGUGAGAGUGGAAAGUUCACACUGUGACGGUAUCUUACCAGAAAGGGACGGCUAACUACGUG